CGCCCAAGAUCAGCAUCACCGCCGACUACCCUGACUGGCCUUCCCUCCUUUCACCGAUCAGCACUACGACCCAAGCUUCCUAACCCAAAAUCCCUAUAUCUGUCCCCAAAACAACCACCGAUCUGCUCUCCCUUCACUGUCGGCGGCUAACCCGAAGCAAACCUCCCUCCUUUCGCCGAUCAUCACUAAGACCCAAGCUUCCUAACCCAAAAUCCCUAUAUCUUUCCCCAAAACAACCACUGAUCUGCUUUCCCUUCACCGCCACCUUCCUUGCGCUGACGCCAUUUCCUAAUCGAACUCUUCUCUCUCAUCCAACGAAGGCACAAAAUCUGGGCUUCAAAUCCCCCCACCGACAGCACAAAACCCCCAAUAUAUAUCCCCUCCAAAUGUCCCUAAAACAAGCUAAAGAAAAUCCCCCAAAAACAAC
RNAcentral lists this long non-coding RNA (427 nucleotides) under Theobroma cacao (cacao). RNAcentral's name for it is "long non-coding RNA (TCAC_LNC000775)". The record is from RNAcentral. Lineage: Eukaryota; Viridiplantae; Streptophyta; Magnoliopsida; Malvales; Malvaceae.